GGACAGGUUGAGAGGUGAGAUCAGGCAGGAGAUUCUAUGGACUAUGAUGGUUGCAGACGUCACUGUGAUCCAUAAUGGGAGAAGAGACCAGGUGGAAGAGUCUGUGAGAGGUGGUGAUAUGCUGGUUCCUGAGAAGAGAUGAAGAAAUCAAAGUCAGCUUUUCAAGACAGCCCCAAGACUCUUCGCAACUUGUGUUCAAAUGUGAGGCUGUUGUCAGGUGAUGAAUGCAAGGAAGAGGCACUCAACUGACAUGAAACAUGUCAAAGACAACAUGAAGGUGACAUUUUAACAUAGGCAAAAAGUGGUUCAAGAACCUGCCACAGCUUCCACUGUCCUGGACCUUUUCCCAAGAUGUAAGAUGUACCCAACUGGAUACACCUGGCUUGAUUGACUAAGACUUCAUAAUUUGUUGGGGAGGAAGUGUCUGCUAAGUUCCUUGCAAAGUGGCCAACCAAGCCAAGGAUCAUCAAAGAUUCAAAAAUCUGUCUCAGAGUACAGAAUUGGAUGAGUUGCUCAUUUCUGCACCGCGUUACACUUACCACCCUUGUCAAAUUUGGGACUGCGAGGCGGCUGCCAUGUUUUGCUGCUUCACUUGUUACCUCCAACAUCUAAGGGAACGACGUCUUCAAAGAUUAGCACAUCAGAUGCUGCUCACCACCUAAUGAAAUUCAUCAAGGUGGGAGGUAGCACGGAGGCUUUACUUAAGGCUGGCCCCACUCAGCCAUCCGUCCUGUGUGUUGGAGAAAGAAAGAACAUCAUCCAGAG
Molecule: long non-coding RNA, 765 nt
Organism: Oreochromis aureus
Lineage: Eukaryota; Metazoa; Chordata; Actinopteri; Cichliformes; Cichlidae
Source: Ensembl